GAGUUUGAUCCUGGCUCAGGACGAACGCUGGCGGCGCGCCUAACACAUGCAAGUCGAACGAGCGAGAGAGAGCUUGCUUUCUCAAGCGAGUGGCGAACGGGUGAGUAACGCGUGAGGAACCUGCCUCAAAGAGGGGGACAACAGUUGGAAACGACUGCUAAUACCGCAUAAGCCCACAGCUCGGCAUCGAGCAGAGGGAAAAGGAGCAAUCCGCUUUGAGAUGGCCUCGCGUCCGAUUAGCUAGUUGGUGAGGUAAUGGCCCACCAAGGCGACGAUCGGUAGCCGGACUGAGAGGUUGAACGGCCACAUUGGGACUGAGACACGGCCCAGACUCCUACGGGAGGCAGCAGUGGGGAAUAUUGCACAAUGGGGGAAACCCUGAUGCAGCGACGCCGCGUGGAGGAAGAAGGUCUUCGGAUUGUAAACUCCUGUUGUUGAGGAAGAUAAUGACGGUACUCAACAAGGAAGUGACGGCUAACUACGUGCCAGCAGCCGCGGUAAAACGUAGGUCACAAGCGUUGUCCGGAAUUACUGGGUGUAAAGGGAGCGCAGGCGGGAAGACAAGUUGGAAGUGAAAUCUAUGGGCUCAACCCAUAAACUGCUUUCAAAACUGUUUUUCUUGAGUAGUGCAGAGGUAGGCGGAAUUCCCGGUGUAGCGGUGGAAUGCGUAGAUAUCGGGAGGAACACCAGUGGCGAAGGCGGCCUACUGGGCACCAACUGACGCUGAGGCUCGAAAGUGUGGGUAGCAGACAGGAUUAGAUACCCUGGUAGUCCACACCGUAAACGAUGAUUACUAGGUGUUGGAGGAUUGACCCCUUCAGUGCCGCAGUUAACACAAUAAGUAAUCCACCUGGGGAGUACGACCGCAAGGUUGAAACUCAAAGGAAUUGACGGGGGCCCGCACAAGCAGUGGAGUAUGUGGUUUAAUUCGACGCAACGCGAUGAACCUUACCAAGUCUUGACAUCCUGCGACGCACAUAGAAAUAUGUGUUUCCUUCGGGACGCAGAGACAGGUGGUGCAUGGUUGUCGUCAGCUCGUGUCGUGAGAUGUUGGGUUAAGUCCCGCAACGAGCGCAACCCUUACUGUCAGUUACUACGCAAGAGGACUCUGGCAGGACUGCCGUUGACAAAACGGAGGAAGGUGGGGAUGACGUCAAAUCAUCAUGCCCUUUAUGACUUGGGCUACACACGUACUACAAUGGCGUUAAACAAAGAGAAGCAAGACCGCGAGGUGGAGCAAAACUCAGAAACAACGUCCCAGUUCGGACUGCAGGCUGCAACUCGCCUGCACGAAGUCGGAAUUGCUAGUAAUCGUGGAUCAGCAUGCCACGGUGAAUACGUUCCCGGGCCUUGUACACACCGCCCGUC
RNAcentral lists this ribosomal RNA (1368 nucleotides) under uncultured bacterium. RNAcentral describes it as "bacterial SSU rRNA". It matches the Rfam family "Bacterial small subunit ribosomal RNA". The record is from RNAcentral.